GAUGAACGCUGGCGGCGUGCCUAAUACAUGCAAGUCGAGCGAACAGACGAGGAGCUUGCUCCUCUGACGUUAGCGGCGGACGGGUGAGUAACACGUGGAUAACCUACCUAUAAGACUGGGAUAACUUCGGGAAACCGGAGCUAAUACCGGAUAACAUGUUGAACCGCAUGGUUCAACAGUGAAAGACGGUCUUGCUGUCACUUAUACAUGGAUCCGCGCCGCAUUAGCUAGUUGGUAAGGUAACGGCUUACCAAGGCAACGAUGCGUAGCCGACCUGAGAGGGUGAUCGGCCACACUGGAACUGAGACACGGUCCAGACUCCUACGGGAGGCAGCAGUAGGGAAUCUUCCGCAAUGGGCGAAAGCCUGACGGAGCAACGCCGCGUGAGUGAAGAAGGUCUUCGGAUCGUAAAACUCUGUUAUUAGGGAAGAACAAAUGUGUAAGUAACUAUGCACGUCUUGACGGUACCUAAUCAGAAAGCCACGGCUAACUACGUG
This 497-nucleotide ribosomal RNA is filed under the name uncultured bacterium. RNAcentral describes it as "partial 16S ribosomal RNA". It matches the Rfam family "Bacterial small subunit ribosomal RNA", at positions 28 to 507 of the family's 1533-position model. The record is from RNAcentral.